This is a long non-coding RNA of Scylla paramamosain (green mud crab), 1623 nucleotides long. RefSeq lists it as uncharacterized. The record is from RefSeq and is a predicted model, not a curated record. The transcript is spliced from 2 exons. NCBI's taxonomy places the organism in Eukaryota, Metazoa, Arthropoda, Malacostraca, Decapoda, Portunidae.
GGGAAUACAGAAGCAGGCAGGGAACUGCAAUUUACCAGAGAAAGGGAUGAAUGAUUGAAAAUACUAGUUAAUGCUUGCAUUAGGGAGGUGAACAGAACAGGGAAGAGAGAAAGAAGAAAGUCUUGUGCAGCGAGUCUGCGAUAGGAGAGGAGGUAUGUAGUUUGCAAGAUCAGAAGAGCAGUUAGCAUGAAAAUAGCGGUAGAUGACAAGAGGUGCAACAUUGUGGCGAUGAGAGAUAAGAAUGGCUGAAGAUAAUAAUUUAGAGAGGAGUUGAUAAGAUGCAAAGCUUUUAAUUCCAACCUGUCUAAAAGAGCGGUAUGAGUGGAACUCUUCCCACACAUGUGAAGCAUACUCCAUAUAUGAACGGAUACGGCCCCUGUACACAAUUUGCAGUUGAGGGGGUGAGAAACUGGAGGAGACGACUCAGGAUGCCUAACUUCAUAGAAGCCGUUUUUGCAAGAGAUGAAAUGUGAAUUUUCCAGUUUAGAUUAUAAGUAAAAGAACAGACCGAACAUGUGCAGCGUAGGAGGCCAGCUGAGUGUCACUGAAGAGGGGAUUAUUAUAUGGAGGGCUGUGUCGAGUUGAACAGAAUGAACCUGAAUUUACCAAGCCAUCGGAUAAAAAACACCUGUCAUUUCAGUAUCAUCGAGAGAGAGAGAGAGAGAGAGAGAGAGAGAGAGAGAGAGAGAGAGAGAGAGAGAGAGAGAAGAAAGUGAAAGAAACAAAUAGGCGAAGAGACAGAGCAAGUAUUUCCAUGGCUGGGGAUUCUAGGGAUUAACAUAAGCGUAUGAAAGACAACGGGCCAGGAAGUCAUCCUAUAGAGAUGAACACAAGGCCUGCCUGAAAUGUCUCCACCUUGUAGGAGAGGCAAAUGUUUCUGAAGUUCUUGAAUAGAGUAUAGUGGUGACAAGGUGCAGAAUGAAUCGAGAAAGCUGCCCAGUCCGACCUUGAGGGAGAAAAUAUUACUUUGCUGGGCCUAUUCCGGAAAGCGCGGCGCGGCAUGAGCGUGGCGGAGGCCGUGGUGUGUGCAUGAUUAACGGCAUGCUGGAGGGCCGCACACACCUGCCGCGCGGUCUAUAUAUGCUUGGGGGUCGUCGAUAAGUUGUGAGUUCCCGAGCCCCACUUGACGGGUUCCUCGGAGGGCAAACAUCUAACAUUUAAGUAAACAGAGGCACAUGGCGCGCUCUGCCUCACCCGCGACCACUGCCGGAUGCUCCAUUUCUACAUGACAAUUCUCGCCUUUACAGACUUUUCACCAAACCCUCAAGUAGAUAAAAGGCAUACAAUACAUAUUCCUAAUUUUUAACAUCAACCAUCUUAUGUUAAGUAGGAAUAUUUGUUGGUGAAUUAAGUUAAGAUAGUGAAAUAUUCUAGUGAUAUGUGGUAAGAAUCUUUCCCGCCCAAGUGGCUCACCGGCCCCCGCCAAAUCAGUCACAAUUCUGCAUUUGAAAAGGGAGGGUGAGUGCGCUAGCCAUGGAGCCAGGUGUAUGACAUGCUGUGGUGGUGUUAGUGCAUGAUAAACAGUGUGUGACCUUAUGUGCUUGGAUAUUGCUGCCCCCUGAACCAUGGCAAGCCGGCAAAACUCCACUGAACUUGGGAUUAAAAGGAAAAAAGAGAGGAAAA